GCCUUCCUGAUCAGCUUGUACAGUCUCUUCCUUUCUGCAGUAGAGAUGCUGCUGCACCAGCAAACCACACCAUAGAAUAUGCCUGAGGCCACCACAGAGUCAAAAAGGUCUUCAGCAGCUCUCCCUGCACUCCAAAAGACCUUAGUCUCCUCAGCAGGAAGAGUCUGCUCUGCCCUUUCCUAUAGAUUGACUCAGUAUUGUCUGUCCGUAAGAGUCCACUCUCACAAUAUACUUUCACUAAAUGUUCACUGGUGGUAAUGAAGUUUGUUUGUGCCUACAGAAAUCCACCACCAUUUCUUUGGUUCUUUGGAUACCAGUUGGAGUGCAAGAAGGACGUGGAAGCGUUUCCCUAAACGCAACAAAGAAAAGAGUCCAUUGUUGGGAUGGCUGAGGAAUCUUCUGAGACCAUUGUAAGACACCAGGUAUCAUGUUUUUGCGAAUGGCCGAAAGUGAGGCCCCUGUAUCCAGUGCUGUAUCCACAGCUUUGUCACAAAGAUUAACUUUAACAAUAAAUGGUGUAUUCCAAAAUGAAGGAGUACAGGCCUCCACAUGACCAAGUAUAAGCGGCUCAGUCAGGGACCUAAGACAAGGUUGAGGCACACUUUUCUUCUGGAGGGAAGUUUGCCUCUGUGGAACGUCCUCCCUCCCCUGGAGUUUGAUUUCUGCCAAACAGAGCUUCGGUUUUGCUCACCUCUGUCCUUGUGGGCUGCAGCUUUUACAUUCUCAUUAGUGUUCCAUGGCUCAUUUGAAACUUGACGACUCUGUUAAUCAGUGGUUGAACAUAGUGGCAGUUUGGACAGUUCCAGGUGUCGAAAAUUUGAAACAGUAAGUUUCAUGUGCAUUUAUGUCUGUUUUUCUGCACCGCUGGUUCAUUACGACAGUCAGGACAGUUACUGUACUUUCAGGACUCAGCCCGGACUUUUGGCCAUGUGCGUUUGUUUAUGUUCCGUGUCACGUGUCUGCCCCACCUUUGUUUUCGCCUCCCCGUCUCUACACACCUGUUCCUCAUUGUUUAUUAUGUCUAUUUAACCGUGCAAUGUUUCAGAUGGCAGCGCGGAAUCAUACGUCAGUGUUCGUUAGUGUUUUGUCCUGUUUAGUUUUCGUCCUUGUUCCUGUUGUAUGUAUUAUUAUUUAUUAAAACCUAUUUAUUUGAAGUUA
This is a long non-coding RNA of Tachysurus fulvidraco (yellow catfish), 1158 nucleotides long. RefSeq lists it as uncharacterized. The transcript is spliced from 2 exons. The record is from RefSeq and is a predicted model, not a curated record. NCBI's taxonomy places the organism in Eukaryota, Metazoa, Chordata, Actinopteri, Siluriformes, Bagridae.